RNAcentral lists this long non-coding RNA (293 nucleotides) under Mytilus galloprovincialis (Mediterranean mussel). The record is from RNAcentral. Lineage: Eukaryota; Metazoa; Mollusca; Bivalvia; Mytilida; Mytilidae.
AUUAAUAUUCAACAGCAUAGUGAAUUGCUCAAAGGCAAAAAAAAUAUUUUAAGUUCAUUAGACCACAUUCAUUCUGUGUCAGAAACCUAUGCUGUGUCAAUUAUUUAAUCACAAUCCAAAUUUAGAGCUGAAUCCAGCUUAAAAGAGGGACGAAAGAUACCAAAGGGACAGUCAAACUCGUAAAUCUAAAACAAACUGACAACGCCAUGGCUAAAAAUGAAAAAGACAAACAGAAAAACAAUAGUACACACGACACAGCAUAGAAAACUAAAGAAUAAACAACACGAACCCCA